GAUGAACGCUGGCGGCGUGCCUAAUACAUGCAAGUCGAGCGAACGGACGAGAAGCUUGCUUCUCUGAUGUUAGCGGCGGACGGGUGAGUAACACGUGGAUAACCUACCUAUAAGACUGGGAUAACUUCGGGAAACCGUAGCUAAUACCGGAUAAUAUUUUGAACCGCAUGGUUCAAAAGUGAAAGACGGUCUUGCGGUCACUUAUAGAUGGAUCCGCGCUGCAUUAGCUAGUUGGUAAGGUAACGGCUUACCAAGGCAACGAUGCAUAGCCGACCUGAGAGGGUGAUCGGCCACACUGGAACUGAGACACGGUCCAGACUCCUACGGGAGGCAGCAGUAGGGAAUCUUCCGCAAUGGGCGAAAGCCUGACGGAGCAACGCCGCGUGAGUGAUGAAGGUCUUCGGAUCGUAAAACUCUGUUAUUAGGGAAGAACAUAUGUGUAAGUAACUGUGCACAUCUUGACGGUACCUAAUCAGAAAGCCACGGCUAACUACGUG
This 497-nucleotide ribosomal RNA is filed under the name uncultured bacterium. Its description in RNAcentral is "partial 16S ribosomal RNA". It matches the Rfam family "Bacterial small subunit ribosomal RNA", at positions 28 to 507 of the family's 1533-position model. The record is from RNAcentral.